Non-coding RNA from Punica granatum (pomegranate), 653 nucleotides. The record is from RefSeq and is a predicted model, not a curated record. Lineage: Eukaryota; Viridiplantae; Streptophyta; Magnoliopsida; Myrtales; Lythraceae.
AAAACUUUUCCCCUGAGUUUCCACCGCCUCAUUCAUUCCAUUUCUUUUGUUCUUUCUUUUCUUCCUUUGUCUGGUUUAGCUGGGAAAAAUCGGGAGAAAGAGAACAGAGGAAACAGACAGAGAGAGAGAGAGAGAACAAGAAAGAGAGCCAGAGAACGAGACAGAGAGCGAGAUGGAGAGCAAUUGUGUGGUAGAGAACUUGGCUGGAAAUUCACGGAGGGGGACUAAGGACUCGGCUUGGAGAACAGGGAGAUGGAGGGAGUCUGUUGGUUUUGAGUUGGACUGAGGAUGAAUGGUUCUUCGAACGAUUAGGCUAUAUUCAUGAUUGAUAGGAGCUGAGGACAUCGGUUGUGCAUUCUGAAGGUCAAGUUGGUGAAUAUUUUUGGUAUUAGAUAAGCUUCUAGCUGCACAGAAGAACUUUUUGGAUAUCGGGGAUCAGCUCUGAAGACUAUGUAGUGACCUUAGUUAUUUGAUAGGUAUUCUUUAUAUAUAUGUGUGUGUGUGUGUGAGUUUGCUGGAUGGUUAUAUGUUGUUGGGAGUUAUGGAAAACAUGUUUUUAUGUGAAUAGUUUAUAUGAUAAUGGAUAUCGAGAAAACUUAGAGGAAACUCUAUUGAAAUUUCGGGUUGUGACGUCAAUGGAGUGCUUUUCUCUA